GUUCCUUACCACAUCCCAGCUAAAUGAC
RNAcentral lists this non-coding RNA (28 nucleotides) under Cricetulus griseus (Chinese hamster). Lineage: Eukaryota; Metazoa; Chordata; Mammalia; Rodentia; Cricetidae. The record is from RNAcentral.